Molecule: long non-coding RNA, 235 nt
Filed under: Elaeis guineensis (African oil palm)
Lineage: Eukaryota; Viridiplantae; Streptophyta; Magnoliopsida; Arecales; Arecaceae
Description: long non-coding RNA (EGUI_LNC041121)
Source: RNAcentral
GUGUGGAGGGCCGCAUGCAUCUACGUGCUCAUGCUGGCCCGCACGCAUAGCAGGCCUUGGUGGGCUGCAUGUGCUAUAGGCCGCGCGUCUAGGCUGUGCAUGCUGUGGCGGGCCUGGGUGCCCGCAGGCCAAGCCUAAGGGCCACGCCUGCAUCGACUGAUGCUGAUCUGUUGGGCUUUCUAUCUUGGAUUUUUCUUCUAAAGAAUUCUCUACUAUAGGUCGAAUUUAAGGCACC